CCGAUAACGAGCGAGACUUUUAUGUUAUAUUAAAUAAUAUUAUUUUAAAUUUUAUUUACAUAAUAUUUUAUUUUAAUAACAGAUUAAUAGUGUUUAACUAUUUGAGAGAGAGCAAUAACAGGUCUGUGAUGCCCUUAGAUGUCCGGGGCUGCACGCGCGCUACAAUGUAGUGAUCAUUAUGUUCCUGUUUAGAGAUAAAUGGGUAAACAUUUAAAACAUUACGUAACUGGGAGUGAAAAUUGCAAUUAUUUUUCAUGAACGAGGAAUUCCAAGUAAACGUAAGUCAUUAACUUACAUUGAUUACGUCCCUGCCCUUUGUACACACCGCCCGUCGCUGCCCGGAACUGAGCAAUAUCGAGAGGCAGGAAGAGAUACAAAAAAUAUUUAUAUUUUUUUGUGUUAAAUCCUUUCAAUCGCUGUUGUUUGAACCGGGC
Molecule: ribosomal RNA, 434 nt
Filed under: Strongyloides fuelleborni
Lineage: Eukaryota; Metazoa; Nematoda; Chromadorea; Rhabditida; Strongyloididae
Description: SSU rRNA
Rfam family: Eukaryotic small subunit ribosomal RNA
Source: RNAcentral